CAAAGUCAUCGUCGACGACUGGAGAAUCAAAGUCAACUGAACGCAUAUCUUGCCCGCCUAUAUUAAUUUGCAAUGUCGUGGUUAGCCCGAUCCAUAGCCAACACUCUCAAACUCAAUGACGGCAGAGCUGUUAACAAGAUCCAAUCUGGAUCCAGAAGCCUGCAACACCCGGACAAUGAUGCCCGUCUUCAACUUCACCAUCACAUGGUGUCCAAGAUGAUCUGUCGGAGCUUAGUAAAAUCCUCAUCAACCAUUUUUGGGGCAUCACAUCAUUUCUAGCCCCACAAUCGCAGCAAUCCCAAUCCAACCCAAAGUCGGAGAAUAAGUCGGUAGAGGAUCCAAAUGGGGUGGGGGGAUUGGAAGCGACUUCUCGAAAAUCAAGG
RNAcentral lists this long non-coding RNA (383 nucleotides) under Olea europaea subsp. europaea. The record is from RNAcentral. Lineage: Eukaryota; Viridiplantae; Streptophyta; Magnoliopsida; Lamiales; Oleaceae.